CUACUUCGCCCUGCAGCUGCUCCUGUGCGCCUGAAGCUCUGACGCCGUCGAUCUAAUCCGGAGGCCGCCGCGGAACCGACGUUCUCCGGCUAUAAAAGGGACCCCCGAAGCCUUCGAGCUCCUCAGCAACCCCCAUAGACCAGUAGCUCCCCUCCCCACAGCCUAAUUUAGCCCGAGCCGUCUCCUGUGCGCCUCUCUGUCAGUAGCGUCGCCGUCGGCCUCCGGCUAAAUUCCGGCAGUCCCGAGCCCCUCUCCUCCUCCAAGAAACCCUGCUAGCCUGCCCAUACCCCUAGGAAGCCGUUCCCACUGUCGAGCCUAGCCAGGAGCCACUGGAGACCAGAGCCGAAGGAAGGCAGAAGCUCCAUCCGCCAUUGUUGAGGUGCUGCUCAACCUCGAGCUCCGCAGCUGCCCCCAACCUCCAAAAAUGGAUGUGGCGAUCCUUCCAUAGCACGUGCAUAGUCGGAGGGUGGCGGGAGAUGCUCUGUGCCGCCGGCAAUCGUCACCGGAGUGCGGCUCUGUCCCUGUCCACCGCGUGCGCAGGAGGUGAGGGAAGAACCCAACAGGUGGCCCCCACCUGUCGGUGAGUGAGCCCAGCCCCGAGUGGCGCACAUCCCCUGGUGCGUUUCCUUUUGUGCAAACCGUAUUCGCUUAUGACCGUUUCGGCAAACAUGCUUUCUCUCUGGCUAAAACGUAAUGCACCCGAAACGUUUUCUUUUGUUUUGAUUUUAAAAAAUAGAUUUGACCAGUAGGCUUGACUGGCUAUAUCUUUUUAUAGGAAACUCCAAAUCACUUGAUUCUUUUUCCUACUGGUUUAGAAUUUCAUCUAGUUUAUUUUAGGAUUUAUUAGAAAAAAACCAUACGACUUUUGUGUGUUGUUUUGGUUAUGUUUGUUGAUUCAAAUAUUUUUAAACUAGGAAUUUGAAGAGUGGAUACCUACU
This 938-nucleotide long non-coding RNA is filed under the name Hordeum vulgare. RNAcentral's name for it is "long non-coding RNA (HVUL_LNC000592)". The record is from RNAcentral. Lineage: Eukaryota; Viridiplantae; Streptophyta; Magnoliopsida; Poales; Poaceae.